GAUGAACGCUAGCGGCAGGCUUAAUACAUGCAAGUCGAGGGGCAGCGGGGGGUAGCAAUACCUGCCGGCGACCGGCAAACGGGUGCGGAACACGUACACAACCUUCCUUUAAGUGGGGGAUAGCCCAGAGAAAUUUGGAUUAAUACCCCGUAAUAUUAUUAGGUGGCAUCAUUUAGUAAUUAAAGCUGAGGCGCUUGGAGAUGGGUGUGCGUCUGAUUAGGUAGUUGGCGGGGUAACGCCCACCAAGCCUUCGAUCAGUAACUGGUGUGAGAGCACGACCAGUCACACGGGCACUGAGACACGGGCCCGACUCCUACGGGAGGCAGCAGUAAGGAAUAUUGGUCAAUGGACGCAAGUCUGAACCAGCCAUGCCGCGUGGAGGAUGAAGGUCCUCUGGAUUGUAAAC
RNAcentral lists this ribosomal RNA (406 nucleotides) under uncultured bacterium. RNAcentral describes it as "bacterial SSU rRNA". It matches the Rfam family "Bacterial small subunit ribosomal RNA", at positions 28 to 430 of the family's 1533-position model. The record is from RNAcentral.